CAGUAGCCGCGGUAAUACGAACCGUGCGAACGUUAUUCGGAAUCACUGGGCUUAAAGCGCGUGUAGGCGGAUGGGAGCGUCGGCCUCUGAAAUCCCCCGGCUCAACCGGGGAAGUGGAGCCGAAACGACCCGUCUGGAGGGACGUAGGGGGACCUGGAACUUCCGGUGGAGCGGUGAAAUGCGUUGAGAUCGGAAGGAACGCCCGUGGCGAAAGCGAGGUCCUGGACGUCUGCUGACGCUGAGACGCGAAAGCCAGGGGAGCGAACGGGAUUAGAUACCCGAGUAGUCCCUGUCUCUUAUA
This 301-nucleotide ribosomal RNA is filed under the name uncultured bacterium. RNAcentral describes it as "partial 16S ribosomal RNA". It matches the Rfam family "Bacterial small subunit ribosomal RNA", at positions 509 to 807 of the family's 1533-position model. The record is from RNAcentral.